This is a non-coding RNA of Xyrichtys novacula (pearly razorfish), 770 nucleotides long. The record is from the annotation of a GenBank genome assembly. Lineage: Eukaryota; Metazoa; Chordata; Actinopteri; Labriformes; Labridae.
GUACGGUUAAAGGGUUAUUGCGCAUUUUUUGCCGAUCCGCACACAUUGGAAUUUCGCUAACUCCUCCGAAGGCUUUCGUUCCACCGGCACCACAUUUGCUCAGGCCAAUCUACACCCCAUGGCCAUUAAAAGUUAUUCAAAUCAUGAUGCUGCACCCCACGGUUUAGGUUCUAGGGGGCGCCAAAGAUAACCCUAAAAUCCACAUAUUUCAAAGUCUUAUAACUUUUUAUUUUUGCCCUCACUGGCCUCCAAGUUUUCUAGGAUGAUGCAAUGUCCAGCCAUCAACACAUUUGUGAAGGAAUUUUUACUCCCCAAAAGAGCGCCCCCCCAUGGCAGGAGAAAAAAGUCCAUUUUUUCUUGUCCCAUAAGGUGAAAAUUCACACUAUUGACUGUCACGCCUGUACGCUUUGUCAAAAUUACACAAAAAUUGACACACACAUGUAUCUCAAUAAGAUCUACAAAAAAGUCAGUGCUGGCGUAUCUGUCAAAUGUACGGUUAAAGGGUUAUUGCGCAUUUUUUGCCGAUCCGCACACAUUGGAAUUUCGCUAACUCCUCCGAAGGCUUUCGUUCCACCGGCACCACAUUUGCUCAGGCCAAUCUACACCCCAUGGCCAUUAAAAGUUAUUCAAAUCAUGACGCUGCACCCCACGGUUUAGGUUCUAGGGGGCGCCAAAGAUAACCCUAAAAUCCACAUAUUUAAAAGUCUUAUAACUUUUUAUUUUUGUCCUCUCUGGCCUCCAAGUUUUCUAGGAUGAUGCAAUGUCCAGCC